This 476-nucleotide ribosomal RNA is filed under the name uncultured Methanosaeta sp. RNAcentral's name for it is "bacterial SSU rRNA". It matches the Rfam family "Archaeal small subunit ribosomal RNA", at positions 861 to 1338 of the family's 1478-position model. Lineage: Archaea; Methanobacteriati; Methanobacteriota; Methanomicrobia; Methanotrichales; Methanotrichaceae. The record is from RNAcentral.
GGAAUUGACGGGGAGCACCACAACGGGUGGAGCUUGCGGUUUAAUUGGAUUCAACGCCGGAAAUCUUACCGGGACCGACAGCAAUAUGAAGGCCAGGCUGAAGACUUUGCCGGAUUAGCUGAGAGGUGGUGCAUGGCCGUCGUCAGUUCGUACUGUGAAGCAUCCUGUUAAGUCAGGCAACGAGCGAGACCCACGCCCACAGUUGCCAGCGUACUCUCUGGAGUGACGGGUACACUGUGGGACCGCCGCUGCUAAAGCGGAGGAAGGAAUGGGCAACGGUAGGUCAGUAUGCCCCGAAUAUCCCGGGCUACACGCGAGCUACAAUGGUUGGUACAAUGGGUAUCUACCCCGAAAGGGGACGGGAAUCUCCUAAAACCAAUCUUAGUUCGGAUUGAGGGCUGCAACUCGCCCUCAUGAAGCUGGAAUCCGUAGUAAUCGCGUUUCAACAGAACGCGGUGAAUACGUCCCUGCUCCCU